Molecule: non-coding RNA, 87 nt
Organism: Trichonephila clavipes
Lineage: Eukaryota; Metazoa; Arthropoda; Arachnida; Araneae; Nephilidae
Source: the annotation of a GenBank genome assembly
CGCAGGUGUCGACCAAAAGCUUAGCUCAGAUGGUAGAGUACUUGCUUAGCGUGCGAGAGGUUCGGGGUUCGAUACCCCGCGCCUCGA